This is an RNA transcript of Parus major (Great Tit), 4530 nucleotides long. It is a transcript of the gene named N-acyl phosphatidylethanolamine phospholipase D, with no coding region annotated. The transcript has 7 exons. NCBI's taxonomy places the organism in Eukaryota, Metazoa, Chordata, Aves, Passeriformes, Paridae. The record is from RefSeq and is a predicted model, not a curated record.
GUGCUUUCCUUUCCGCGGUGCCGAGGAUCAGGCCGGCCUCCAGGGGCAGAACGCGCCGGCAGCCCUGACACUGUCCCGCCAUGGCUCCGGGACUCCCCGUCUCCCUCAGACACGGCCCCCCCGCCGCCAUCUUGUUAACGGCCCCGCUCCACCGUGAGGGGCCGGGCUGUGGGGUGCCCUCCGCCCGCCACGGCGAGGGGCCGGGCUGUGGGGUGCCCUCUGCCCGCUACGGUGAAGGGCAGGGCGCUGCGAAACCCCUGUUCUCUAUGGCGGGGCGCCGGGCGCUGUGGAGCUGCUCCCUGCAGCUCAUCGCGCUGCCCACGGCGGCGGGCUGGUCAGGUGGAACGCCGCAACCGUUCAACAGCCCCUACUGGAGACCUGCAAAGCCACCGCCGUGGAAGGGGUGGAGCGGCACCAUGGAGGAGGAGGAGAAGGAGGAGAAGGGGGACGAGACUCUUCAGGGGCGGCAGCAGCAGCCCCGGAGUUCUCCUGUAAAAGGUAUGGAUAAGAACACAGAUGAAGAGCAGCCUUCAACUGCCUGUAACCAGUACCCUAAAGAAGCAGUGAAGAAACGUCAGAAUUCGGGUCGAGUUUCCGGGAGCAAUGAUUCUUCCAGGACCUUCAGGAAAAGCUUCAGACUGGACUACAGAUUAGAAGAGGAUGUAACUAAAUCAAAGAGAGGCAAAGAUGGGAGAUUUGUCAACCCAUGGCCAACAUGGAAAUCACCAACUUUACCAAACAUUUUGAAAUGGUCCUUCAUGGAAAAAAAUAACAGCAAUGUGCCACGCUCAAAGCAGGAACUCGAUAAAGAACUUCCAGUGUUACAACCUUACUUUGUUCAAACGCCAGAAGAUGCUGGGAAAACAGGAGCUGGUAUGCGAGUCACGUGGCUGGGACAUGCCACAGUUAUGGUGGAAAUGGAUGAACUUGUAUUUCUUACUGACCCAAUCUUCAGCCAGAGAGCUUCCCCUAUUCAACUGUUGGGUCCCAAGCGCUUCCGAGGGCCUCCGUGCACAGUAGCGCAGCUCCCCAAGAUAGAUGCGGUGUUGAUCAGCCACACCCACUACGAUCAUCUGGACUACAACAGCGUGGCAAGUCUGAACGAACGCUUUGGGAGUGAGCUGCGCUGGUUUGUGCCUCUGGGGCUCCUGCAGUGGAUGCAGAGAUGUGGUUGUGAGAAUGUGAUUGAACUGGAUUGGUGGGAAGAGAACUGUGUCCCUGGUCAUGAUGCGGUAACUUUUGUCUUCACCCCUUCCCAGCAUUGGUGCAAAAGGACUGUGACAGAUGAUAACAAGGUUCUCUGGGGCAGCUGGUCUGUCCUGGGGCCUUGGAAUAGGUUUUUCUUUGCAGGAGAUACUGGAUAUUGUUUUGCUUUUGAACAAAUAGGUAAAAGGUUUGGACCUUUCGAUCUUGCAGCCAUCCCCAUUGGAGCUUAUGAGCCAAGGUGGUUUAUGAAAUACCAGCAUGUGGAUCCUGAAGAAGCAGUAAGAAUCCAUAUUGAUGUUCAAGCAAAGAAGUCUGUAGCAAUUCACUGGGGGACCUUUGCUUUAGCAAAUGAGUAUUACUUGGAUCCUCCAGUUAAAUUGAAUGAAGCUCUGGAAAGAUACGGCUUGAAAAAGGAUGACUUCUUUCUCUUACGUCAUGGAGAAUCACGGAAUUUGAAUACAAAUGACCGUUUUGAAAAUUGAAACAGUGUCAGUUCCUUUAGAAAGUCUUAAGCAAGGGCUGUGGUAUUUUUUCUAAUAGCUUCCCUAUAAUUUUCAAGCUGAAUGAGAGAUUACAGCAUUGUUCAGUGUUAUAAAACUUGGCCAAAUGUAUCUGUAUCAAAUCAUCUUGCUAAUUUACAGAAUUAAAGCCUACUGUUGCCAAUAAAAAGGAUUGUUAUUCUCCUUCAUCAUUUCAUUGGCAAAUCAUGUUUUGUUUAUGAUUUCUUUGGUCGGUAGGAUAUGUGGGUUGGUUUGAGGGUUUUUUUUUCUGCUCUUGCUGUACAUUUUAUUUUCAUAUCCCAUAAAGACAAAUAUAUAUAAAAAAAGAUACAUUAUUUAAAGGCAUUAUCUUCUGGUGACUAACCAAAACCAGUUAAUGAGAUUUCAUGGUAGGAACAACUGAGGUAAUCUUUUAACUGUAGACAGUUAUCAAAAGUGGUUUAAAACUACCCUGUGAUUCAGUGUAGAGGGUCUUUCAGGUGAAGGCCCUUGUAUUUUCACAACAGCUUCAAUUACAACUUGGAUGAUACAAUGUAUAUUACCUAUGUGUAAUUUUGUGGAGGAUGCCAAGCUGCAAGGAGUUUUGAGUACUUUGAAGGACAAGUUUAAUGAGGUUGAUUUUGUUGUGGGUUGUUUUCUUUUCCUGUUUUAAUCAUCAUCAAUAGGUUAUUCUGUAAAAUGAUAUACUUUAGAAAGAGUGAAACUAAAACACAGAAUACUUAGAUAUGCAGUCACAGAGCAGAGAAAUACUGGUUUACAUGGAUCAGAAGCUCAAUGUCAGUAAUGACAUGUUUUGUUUUCGAUCUGUUAAUUCACAACAUUUGUACCUAGAAUGGUGACCGUUAUGUUUUGCUUGGUGCUGAUAAGAUUCCACCAAGGGUGUGGGGUAAGUGAUAAAAAAAUGAGACAUCUUUGCAUAAAAGUACAUUGGAAAGUUUUGCAUGAUUUCAAAACAUCUCAAGAGCUCCGUGAAGAAAGCAUUUAGAAAUAGUUCUUUCUAGACCAGAAAAAGAAAACUGAGACAAUACUGUAGCAAGUUCUCAUGUAUUUUUAGAAAAGGUCACUUGUUUCUGUCAGCUGUCAAAGAAAUAGAUAAGAGAUCAACUCUAUCAAAAAGAUGAUAUUUGAAAAAUUUAUUUUUAGGUUGGAGAACAUGGAAAGUGACAUCUAGAUAUCUCUGUUGAUCUUAAGAAACCAUGUAUCAGCUAUACCUAGAACAAAUUGGUCCUAGUGUCUUGUCAGAAGAGUAGUUAAAUUCUUAGUGUCUGGCCUAGUCUUUAUUUUUUUUAGUCAAAUUCAGUAGCAGAAAAUAUUAAAUCUACAAAAAGUUGCAAAACAUUAAGUGAUUGUAAUGUAACUUACUUAUUACAAACUGUACAGUGUUUUAGGAGCAGUGGGAAGGCGAAAAGGAAGUUCACUGUCAAUGCAGCAAUUGUCAAGUUUCUGCUGGGAAUCAUGCCAACUUCUAUUUCUGCCUUAACUGUAUUCCUGGGUGAUGAAGCAAAGAUGCCAGUCUCUGAGCGAAUGGGGCAGAGUCCCUGCAGAGUGUGAAGAAAAUUGAGUCUUCACUGUAUUCCUCAAUGGUGUUGCCUUCUUCAUCAUUCAUGUUCUUUUUCAAGUUUGCUGCAAAUGCCAGGGCUCGAACUAGAAUGUCUCUGUUUAUAUAGUUGUCAAAAAGUAACAACAUUGAUGGCACCUAGGAUAUUGAAGAAAUAUUCCACACUUAAUCACCAGCAGUAAGUAUGUGUAACUAAAUCAAAUCUCAAAAAAUGGAAAAAAUUGUGUACCUAAACCAGAAAUUGUAUGAAAUCCCAGGACUUUGUAUGCUGUGAACUCCUGUCAGAAAUUUGUACAGUGUGCAAAUGUUCUCUCUAGAAAAGACUGGCCUGUGAAUCAAUGGACUAAUAACUGCUUUGUAUUUUCGAUCUCCAAAAUAUGGCUGUCUGGAAAACUCCCAUUUGGAAGAAAAGGUCUGCUUCUCAGCCACAUUGAUUUUUGUCCUGAAUGUUUUUGUAGCAUAUCUGAUAAAUGAAAAAAUAAUACACUUAACAGAGAACUGAAUAUUUAGCUACCCGAAAUUUGUUUGAAUAAUGAAAAGACAGCAUUAUCUAGACUAGCUCUGCUCAUGGCAGAUAGCUCACAAAUACAACCCAUUGCAUGUUUUAAGAAAGUUACUUUGGGGAGAGAGACGAGGAUGCAGUACCAUUCCAGCCCCAACUGUUUUGGUGUGAGGAAAUGAAACUGAAAGAAACCUAUGUGCCAAGGCCACCACAGCAAAUGUCACACAAAUUUCUCCAUGAAGAAAUAAGUAAAUGCACAGGGAAAGUUCACUUAGAGGCAACAGUUUUAUGUCUGCAUUUGAAUAAAGGGGUGGGGAUUCCAGUGGAAUUGGGCUGGGUUUGGUCCAGUAAAUUGGCUAUAGAAACAGAAGUUGAGAAGGAUCACUUACAGUAUUGGUUCUAUUUAAUGGUUUUCAAUCUAUAUAAUGACUGUGUGUCUGGAAUUGGAAGGUUAGAACAGGCUUCUGCAAGUUAUCAUUGAUUAUUUGGAAUGGUACACAAGAAGUACAACCAACUAUCUCCAAGUGCACAGGCCCCGCGCCUCUCUUUGUAAACAUGGUAUCUGUACUACACUACUCUCUGGAAUAAAGCCAGCCCGUGAAAGAAUGUGCAGUUAGAUACCAGUUUUAACCAAGCAAUGUCUAGAAUUUGUUCUGGAAUUGCAUAUGGAUUUCUAAUACACUAUAAUUCUUCUAGUGCAUGCAAUAUCUAAAUUGGUACACAUGUAUAUAUGCUAAAAAUAAAACGAAGCAGCAAGAACCUUA